RNAcentral lists this ribosomal RNA (429 nucleotides) under Gemmatimonadota bacterium. Its description in RNAcentral is "Gemmatimonadetes bacterium partial 16S ribosomal RNA". It matches the Rfam family "Bacterial small subunit ribosomal RNA", at positions 355 to 776 of the family's 1533-position model. Lineage: Bacteria; Pseudomonadati; Gemmatimonadota. The record is from RNAcentral.
UAGGGAAUCUUCGGCAAUGGACGAAAGUCUGACCGAGCAACGCCGCGUGAGUGAAGAAGGUUUUCGGAUCGUAAAACUCUGUUGUUAGAGAAGAACAAGGACGUUAGUAACUGAACGUCCCCUGACGGUAUCUAACCAGAAAGCCACGGCUAACUACGUGCCAGCAGCCGCAGUAAUACGUAGGUGGCAAGCGUUGUCCGGAUUUAUUGGGCGUAAAGCGAGCGCAGGCGGUUUCUUAAGUCUGAUGUGAAAGCCCCCGGCUCAACCGGGGAGGGUCAUUGGAAACUGGGAGACUUGAGUGCAGAAGAGGAGAGUGGAAUUCCAUGUGUAGCGGUGAAAUGCGUAGAUAUAUGGAGGAACACCAGUGGCGAAGGCGGCUCUCUGGUCUGUAACUGACGCUGAGGCUCGAAAGCGUGGGGAGCAAACAGG